This is a non-coding RNA of Coturnix japonica (Japanese quail), 9428 nucleotides long. The record is from RefSeq and is a predicted model, not a curated record. Lineage: Eukaryota; Metazoa; Chordata; Aves; Galliformes; Phasianidae.
UACUGCAGACGCACCAUGGUGUCGAAGUGGGAUGUUGGCUGAAAUGCAGGCGUUGUGUGGAGCUGUGAGUGCCAGCAGGGCACGGCACGUGGGAACGUGUUCAGGCCUGCACCAAUGAAAAGAAACAGGAAAGGCUGUGAGUCACAGGCAUCCCACUGCCUCUGCUGUGCUGAUUCCUGGGGAAGUAGGAGGAGAAGAAGGGCUCCAGCAGGUGAUCAUUCAGUGUUUCAGGCUGUGACUCAACAGUUCCCAUUCAGGACUUUAUCCAAACACUGAACAACUGUGCUGUGCCAUUGGAGUAGCAUGAGAAGUUCUACGCAUCGAGAGGUGACUGCAUCAACUGCAGCAGGGCGCAGCUUUCAGCCUUGACUCCUUAAAGUCAGAGGGAUUCAGCCACAAAGUCCAUUAGAGCAUCAGAUGCAGUGAGGUCAAAUCAAUUGUCCAUACUGCAGACAAGGAUGGGCAAUAAUAAUUGACUGAAGCAAUCACUGCUGUGGGAAAACAAACGUCCUGGCAGUGUCGCAUCUGAAGGUCAGGUCUGAUGACACAGUAAGUACCUGAACUCUCACUGACUCCCAGGGAGGAGGCUGCUGAGCGCCUCCUGGAGCUCGCCUGGCAGGGACAGAUUUACACAGCCACAGGGGCGGGGGGUGAGGAUGCUUUUUUUGCUCCCACCUCCUUCUGUUGGGUCUGCAAAGUCAUUUAUUUCCAUUACAGCGCCAUGUUCUCUCUGGCUCCUCUGCUCGACACGUCAGCUGCAUGAAACCAGAGAGAAAAGGCACUUCUGUGCUGCCAGGGACUGUGCAUCCCUUCUCCUUCAAACAGUUGUGCUGGCCCUGAUUUACCUCAUGCAAGCUGGUGGGUGCACUGUUUGCAUGAAGGGGAGCUGUGUCCACCCCGCACACGUGUGAAAGCUGUGGCACCAUGGCCCAGAUCUUGUCGGACACUGUUGAAACAGGAAGCAGUAAACCCAGCUUUAUUCACUUGACUUGCUUAUUUGCCUUUUCUAGGUUAAUCUUUUCUCUUUCCCUGGAUUUCUUUAAUCCUGGGAUGUUUUCAUUGAGAAAGUGAUUGAAUGAAGAGGCAUUUAGAUUUUCUGUAUUAUGGAAAUAUUGUCACAGCUGUCAGGAUCAGUCUUGUAGUCCUUCUGCUUCAGAAGCUAAGUUCUAAGCAAACAUACACAUCCAUUUAAAGUAGAGGCAAAGGAAUAAGGAGCCUAAAAUAGUCCCUGCAAUACAAGUGUGUAUUUCUGAGGCUGCCACAUAUUCUGACAUAUGCUUAUGGAAACCAUCUUGGGAGACUGCUUUUCCUCUUCUGUUUCCUCUUUUCAUGACUUACCUUAAUACAGACUCUCUGGGCUCCUUUUCCUCAGUCUGUGUUGCCCAUCACUUCUGAAUUCACCAUUCUGAAUGGUUAUUCACAGGUCUUACAAAACAGCUCAGAUUGGCAUCGUGCACUGCACAUAACAGAAAGCCUUUGGAUCAGGAAAAAUACUUAUUGAAAUCAGUAAGAGGAAAAGAGCUUCAAGUCCAGCAGUUAACACUUCAUUCUGGCCUUUUUCUCAGUAGAUAAAAACAUUGGCUUGGUGAUGCCUACUCCUUUUCUUUUUAAGAUCAAUGCGACAAACUGAAGUUGUCCACUGAAUUUGUUUGCUGUGUUAGCACUGCAGUUCACAUUAGACUUUUAAAAAAUGACUAUUUGAUUUUACAAUAAUUCCAGCCUGUGCAGCAAGUGAAUGUAUUUUUAAGGAAAUCUGUUUAAGCAGGAAAAUCACUAAGGAAUUCCUCAGGAGUUAUAUAUAGCUCUUAGUUGACAGACUCCCUUAAAUAACUCCUUUUUCUAUGUCUACAGUAAUUAAAACAAAAGUUGUCCUUUGAGUAUUUGCUGUUGGCAAGAUGUAUUUCGUUUAAUUUUCUCCAAAUGCUCAAAAGCUUUCUACAUUUAUGGGGAAGUAGUUUGGUCUUGUGAACAUGAGAGAGAUUCAUAUUAUUUGAAUUGGCCAUAAGGUAAUAUAUUCCAGCAUACAUCUCUGAUUCUCCUGGUCACUUUGAGGGAGUGCAGAAAUUGCCUGCUCAUUGCAUCAGUAGUCACUGUCCUGGAAACUGAGUUAAUGGCAUGACAGCUGUAGCACUGCAAACAACAUCAGUGUGGGGCUUUGGGGAUAAAAUUCCCCUCUUAAGUAACUAAAGCAGGCAGUCCCGAUUACAGAAAAUGGUGACAUUAAACAGAGCUGCUCCGAAUGUGUGCAUGAAACAAGUAGAAAAGUGCAUUUGUGAGCAAGUCUUAGCCUGGGUGUAGCUUGCAUUGUGUUGAAGCACAACUAAUUCAUGUUAAAGAUGAAAUGCAAAAGCUCUCCUAGGAGGCUGUCAGGGGGCAUUGUCAUUUUUGAAAAGUAAUAUACUCUUAAAUGCUGCAAUACAUUUUAAAGAAUGACAUUGUACAUCUACAUGAAAAUGGUCUGUGCUGUGCUACAGGCCACCAGAGAAGGCUUGAAUGUGAAAAAGGGUGGUAUUGUUUGUGACCAGGUGAGUAACUAUCAGCUUAGAAGGAAUGUACAAACACAAACUAAAUGCUUCACUAAAUAUUUUGGUAUUUGCUUUUGGUUUGAUUUUUGGGCUGAAAUUUACUCAUAGUUGAAUUUUACUAUUAUUUGAAUGUUCCUGAAGGGCUGAGGGAAAGCAUGUCAACCAGUGACUGAUGGAUCCUGCUUUAUAUGCAUCCAUCUAUAUACCUUGCUUAUGAGUUUGUUCACUUCCUCAGAUGAUGGUUAAAAGAUGAGUGCGUAUUUGACCAACACGGUGAGAAAAUGCAAUGAAAUGAAACAUUAACUGGAAGUUCUUCCAUUUUGCUCCAUGUCCUUUUGAAACCAAUGUGCCAGAUUAACUGAAAGACAGAAAAGUAGUAGAAACAUUUCUGUGCAUUAGAAGAAAAAAAAAAUGUAUUUAAUUUUGCCUUCCUUGUGCUCAGUUCCAGCUGUGAAUUUAGAAGUAAUAUACUCUGAUUCUGAAUGGAAAGCCUUGACAGAAACUGGCUUUAAACAAAAGCAAACUGAUUUAUUUUCUUUAGUAAAGUUGAGAAAAAUGUAAGCUGUAUGACAGGGAAAGGUUAUAUAGGAGUUAUAUAGUUAUACAGGAACCUGUUAGCAAUGUAUUUUUUCCUAUGGCUAUUUGCUCAUCACUGAUCUUGACCAUAUCUCCUAUGAACUCAUUAACAACUCUUAGUAUGAAAAAGCACCUCUUAAAUAAUUUACUAUAAACCGGAAGUAAUAUUGAGCAUUUGUAAAUAUGACCUUCCUUUGCUGGUUUGUUUCUCUUUUCAUUUUUUCUUCCUGGAUCUGUCCUGUUCUGUUUGAAUAUCCAUGAAAGGAGCCAAAGAAAUGGGAACUCACCUGCGUGGUGAUAUCAGUCAUCUUACUCACAGAUAUUCUACAGCUUGUCCUGUUUUCCACUUCCUCUUACCUGAUCCUUUCAUAACUCAGCUUCUCUAGUGGGAGCCAAUGGGUCUUUCCAAUGUAAUUUAUACAGCAGUUGAUGAUUUAAAUGGCAAAAAUCCAAAAUGCUUUUUGAAAAUGUAAGUAAGUCUUUCUGGAUCUCAUUAACAAAAGUUCUUGAUUGAUUACAGCAGGAAUUUUUUAUUUUCUUUUUCCAUACAUUUUAUUCAUGAGAUUCAGCUGUUGCUUUCCAAAAAUACUGUGGAACUGUUUUUUUGUUUUGUUUUGUAUUUUUUUGUUUUUCCCAUUGUCUUUUUGUCCACUGGACUCAGCCUAAACCUUCUUAGUGGUCAUAUAUAGGAUGAUGCCAGUUGUGAGAUCUCAUGACCACCAACCACACAGACAAUAAUAUAAACACUGCAGCAGGAGUUUUGCAGUACAGCAGACUUGUUUUCAUCCUGAGAUCGAGAUGCUUCUAAGCAUGCAUUUAAAAAACAAAAAGGGAGGUUAGAAUGCGGAGUUGUACAUUAGGGCCAAACAUUUGCUCAUGAAUAACAGCUUAGCUACUUUACUGUUCGAUUCUGAAUGUAUGAAAAUCAAAACAUGUCAACUUUACCUUGUCCAACCUGUGAGAAAAUAGUGGAACCAGCUUGGCUCCAUUUGCGAAUAGCUGACGCUCUCUGAUGGUAAAGAAACAACUUAUGUGUUAAUUUGUGGGUAAAGUUAUUCUGAUGGAGAUUAUAACAGUGUGAAUUAGUGGAGUCAUAACUUAAGGAGCUAUUAGGUCUUGCUGACCUUCUUCCUGCAUAAAUUUUGACCCUUACUACUACUAAAUUGAAUUUUCUAAGUAAGAACUGACUUGUACUGGUGUUAAGUACUGGACAAGUUUAUUUUAUUACAGUUCUGUAAAACCCCACUGGUAUCUACUCCUUUAUUUUGGAUUUGGAAUUAUAAUGUCAGGAAAGUAUGGGGUAAAGCAAUGGGUGGUGGUGGAUCCAGUUGCAUGCUCUGCUCUGUUUAGUUCCUUUUUGCCAACAGGAUGUGAAUUAUGCAGGUGGGCCUGAAAAGCCUCCUGUUGAUCUCUCAAGACAUCACUCGCUACCAGAUGCAAUCAGCAUACCUGGCACCUGUUUUGGAAGGAACAGGUUUUAACCCAUCUGUACAGCUUUAGGAUUAAUAGACGUUAUCCAAGACAAGUAUAAAAGAAGCAGCACCUCAUUCAGCACAUUGACUGCAAUUUCCAGUGUAUUUAUUCCAUUUUCUGCUGGGAUCACGGAUGGAGCAAAGAUUAGAAAACAAUAUGGCAGGAACUCUUGAUGCUAAACAUUCAAGGUACAGGACUCUGCACUCACCUUUGUUGAACCUCAUCAGAUUCCCCUCUGCUCAGCUCUGCAGCCUGCCCAGGUCUCACUGAACGACAGCACACUUCUGGUGUGCCAGCCACUCCUCCCAGGUUUGUAUCAUCACAGAACUUGCUGAGGAUGCUGCCCAUCCAUUUGUCCAGUUUACUGAUGAAGAUGUUCAACAAGACUGGACCCAGUAUUGAUCCCAAGGGAACACCAGCUAGACUGUGCUGCUGAUCAUAACCCUCCCUCUGUGCCGUGCCAUCAGCCAGUUCUUUGAUAUGAAUUUUGAACAGUACAUACACAUACACAACCAAGAAAGUUCAAUGAGUCAACUCUGAAAGUGGAGCAUUUCAAAUUGCAUCCAGAAAAACUGAGAAUAUUUUUACAUAUUAAUUAGUUUCUAAUCAGUACGUUGCAGUAAUUCAGCAUUCGGCAUUCAGCAGAAGCUCCACAUUUGAGGGUUCAACUUGAUUGGCCGCAGCCUUCAGCAGUCUGACGUAGCGAGACCAGCUUCAAGCAGGGCAUGGAUUGUGGUGACAUCGAUUAAAUUAAAAGGUAUGAAAUUCAACUUCACUUCUUAUUGAUAUAAAGGCUGGAAUUUUGUAUUCACUAUUUGCAAUUGUUUGUAGGUAAUAUUUUCAUAAUAAUUAUAUGCAAAAGCAUUUAUUAUUAUUUAUUUACUAAUCCAUAUGUGGUCAUACUAAAGCGUACUGGAUGCCUGCAGUAUAAAACUCCAUUAUCCAAGGAAAGAUGUUUAUUUAAAACUCUAAAAUGGUGGUUUGAAACACACACCAAUAUCUUUAAUUCUUCUGUGCUGGAAAUGUAAAAUGACAAUUGCUAAUGAGAAAAACUUCCCUGCAAAGCUGUAAUAGAAACUGUAAGAAGGCUUGCUAAGAGAUAGACCACGUUUAGGAAAGCCAAAUCUAGUUGAUCUCACCUUCUCAAUUCCAAAUAUCCUUUGUGGUAACUACGUUUCAUUUAGAAAAAUAAAUGCAAAGGAAGUACAGACAUGGCAGGUAGUUUGGCAUCAGCCACUUCUAUAUUUCUCAAUGUGUAGAAGCCAGGAAAAUGUUCCAGAACUUAAUUCCUUUCAGAUAGGUGAGCUCAUGUAAACAUUGCUCUUGAUGAAGGCUACAGAUAAAAUAUCUGGAUGUUGUUCCAAAUAAAGCAUUAAAUGUCUCCUGCAAUAGAAUCCAUCGUGCUCUCUUACUUUCUCCCUUGUACAAAAUAAUUACAAUCUAUGAAAUCACACUGUAGAAAUCUAAAUAUGCUUUCCAUAAAGUAGUAAGAAACCUCUGCCCAGAAAAGCCCAAGUUGUUCUCUGCCUACCAUGGUAGCUCCGUCAUUUCCAUUUUUCGGCUGCCUUUCAGGUAGCCCCACAAAGACACUGAAAAGAUAGGAGUUGAAGAAUUGUCAUUUUCUUGUUACCAGAGGUGCAAGGAAGCUGCAGACACAGAACAGCAGCGUGAGAGCUCUACCGGUGGCUUUUUAUUCCUCUGCUGAUCUCUAGGAAAAGUCAGAGUUUAGCAUUUCAGGUUUAAACUCAAAUUUGUGCAUGUACAACCACCACAAAAAGUAGAUUACAGACAGCUCUGCAAAAGGCAGCACCAUUUGAGACAAUCUUUGAUGUCUGCUUUGAGUAACCCAAACGCCUUGGAUACAUACAGCCUUACUGAACUGCUGUAUGAGCGUAAUGUACUUAGGAAUUAAUCUCAGUGCACUUUCUUUGAACCACCUAUGAAAGCUCUACAUCCAGAAUAAUAUUCACUAUUGCCUUCUACAGAGUUUUUGCUGGAACGUGUCCUGUUCUGCUUCCUUCCCAUCAUCAUCACAUCAUCUCCCCUCCAACCAAAGCCUUUUAUAGUUUUGGAAACUGGCUGAGAUUGACCCAGUAAUGUGCACCCAAAAGAAAGUGAUUUCCUGCCUUAAAUAAGUGUUGCAUUCAGAGGAAUUUAAUGUCACUGUCAUCCUCGUAGCUGGCAGGACGAGUCACCAGUUUGCUGACCGAGGCUGCGAGGGAGGCACACGCUGCGCUAAGGGGCGCUACCAAGGGCGAUGAUUUCAUGUGGCAGCACCCAACACUGGCUGUUUGCGUUGGCCAUUGCCCAUUUCAGCAGUGAUAUGGACUUGGCAAUUUCAGGAACGCUCAUGAAAUUAUUACCUUGAAUCGUCUUCAAAGAGCUGCCCUGAUUUAUGAUUGUCUUAGAGCACAUAAACACAUUUAAGCACAUUUACCCAUUCCAAGGGAUACCCAAUACACGAGGGAGUUUUCCCUUCCUUCCUAGGGCUGUAAAAACAAAACCAGGAUGUUUCUUGCCAAACUUGCUCACAGUUUGCAUGGAUUUGGUUGGACAGAUGUGCUGGAAAACUACAUGCAGUCUUUUGAGUCCCAGCCCGUGCACCUCCUUACAUCUCAGCAGUGCUCCCAUCAGCUUCCAACACAGAUCUCUAGCAGAACUCUGAUUUUGUUUGGAUUUCACGUUAAGAAAAACAGGUUGUAAGAAACUGGUUGUCAUUUUGGAUCUGUAAAACACACCCAGUUUAAUUCACUGGACUCAGUAACUAAGGACUUCUGCUCUGCUUUUCUCGCCGACUCUCUUAUAGGGUUUCCUAUUACCUGCACAGAACUCUCUUUCUCAGCACAGCUGCCUCCACCGGCCGUGCACUUUCACCAGCGAUGCCCACACGCUGCAGCUCACUGCGCUCACGCCCACUCUUUGGUCUCCACCGACGUUCACCAACAGCUGAAGAAUGUCAGUGGGUGCCGUUGCUUCCACACAGAAGAACAGGAUUUGCAGCUCCCCGGGACACACAGACCCCGGGCUGUGAAGGGAUUCCCCCCCGCCCGCAUCAAGAUCUGCCCGGCAGCGCAGCUCCCCGUUAUUGCCCCCCCGGCUUUGGCCGCCCUGCAGGCUCUCCGUGCGCCCAGCAGAGGGCGCUGCCGCCCGCUCCCACAGCGAGGAGUUUCCUCCCCUUUGUCAGAGCGCCGGCCAAAAGAAACAUUUCACCCGUGUUGGUUUUUUAAACUUAAACUUGAAAGCUGAGACCGCUUUCAUAUAAGGAGCCCGUUUAAUGUAGAAAUCACAUGGCAUGAGAGCUAACGCAUGGAAACAGACCAAGAGAGGGAGGGAAGGAAUCGGUGCUGGAUAAUUGCUGCUAUCGCUAUCUGAUUGUGCAAAGCAGCCGCUGCAAAAGGCCGUUCCCUUGGCUUUAGGUAGGAAUUCACCCUGCCCGACAGACUGCAGGGACAUCGGCUGCUUCAGGUGUCCUCCUACAGCAAAUAAUUGCACUCAAGGUAAUUUCCACACACCCACAGAGAAGCUGAGUUAGUCAGUUGAAGCAAGAAGGACCGGAGGUAAGUUAAGCCCUGCUCCCAGUGUCUGCCCAAAGCUGUGUCUAAAUGAGGGAAGCACAACAAGCCAGUCCCCUGAGGUUCCCACCUUAGAGCAGGAAGUCUGCAGGGUGGCAGAAACAUCACCUCAGCCCUGGAAGCCACGUGCUGCAGCAAGGCACGGUGUCUCCUGUGAUUCUUUAACACACAUGGGCACCCAUUUGCUGCUGUUGUGUAUAAGAGCAGCACCUCCAGCUGCCAGGAAUCCAGCUCUGCUGCGUGGAAGAAAGCACUGCGAGGCACCUUCCCAAAAGGUUCCUCUGUGGCUCAUUUGUGAAGGGCUGUGACUAUUCAUGCUGACUUCUGAGCUCAGAAAAAGCGAAGAAGGAAAAAAUAAGAGGAAAUACAUCAGUGGUGCUAUUUUCUUUCUCCAUCAAACAGAGGCCUCCCUCCCACCUCUAUGCAUUAGUUUGCUUCCCUUCCCUGUGGUAUCAAGAAAAAAAAAAGAGCCAUAAAGUUAGCAAUAGAAGCUGUACUAAAGGGAAAGCAAUCAGGGAUUUGUAGAGGACAGGUACGCAUCCAAAAGUUACCUGUUAACAAGGCUGGAUGCUGGGAGAAUCCUGGGAAAUCCAGAAGAAGGGAGCUGUUGCUCAUGGGAUGGCUGCAGAGAUCUGAGUAUUCCAUCAUCCAUGGACUCUCUUCUGCCCAAGCUGUUGGAUCUGAAACUUGUCUGCAAACAGGUUCCUUUAUAAGGCUUUCAAAGGCUCCUCCUCUUCAGGUGGGUGUCCAUAUGAGGGCAUUUUGAGGGGCACCCAGGUGGUCAGGUUAAAGAUACAGACAGGGGAGUGGGACCUGCCAUAGCAAUCUAAUGUCAUCUAUCAGCUGCCUUUUAAGAGGUAUCAGACACCUAAUCUGCAUUGUACAAAGCAGCUACAAAAAUGGACCAGCGAUGCUAAAUAACAGCUCAACAAGCCAUCAGUACAUUUAGCACAGACUUUUGUUAGAUUUAUUCCAAGACAAAAGGGUUCUUUGGUCAUCUCUGUUGGCAGUACAGAACAGAAAAUGCCAUUUUGCAUGAGUUAAAAACAAGUAGACCCUUUUGACUGAUGGAAAUUGCUUGCUUUAAGCAAGUGACACAAGAUACACAUAAUAGGAAUAAACAGAGUAUUUAUUUAAUCAAAAGUAAAAAAAAAAAAAGUCUUUGACUUCACAUCCUUAAAUAGCAUUAAGACAAACUGUCUGGUGGCUAAUGAACAAAAAGAAUACACGUGCCUUGUGUUUGAACCCCUACUGAAACUCUGGAUCAGUCAUACUGCCUGGG